GAACUGAAGAGUUUGAUCAUGGCUCAGAUUGAACGCUGGCGGCAGGCCUAACACAUGCAAGUCGAGCGGAUGAAGGGGGCUUGCUCCUGGAUUCAGCGGCGGACGGGUGAGUAAUGCCUAGGAAUCUGCCUGGUAGUGGGGGAUAACGUCCGGAAACGGGCGCUAAUACCGCAUACGUCCUGAGGGAGAAAGUGGGGGAUCUUCGGACCUCACGCUAUCAGAUGAGCCUAGGUCGGAUUAGCUAGUUGGUGGGGUAAAGGCCUACCAAGGCGACGAUCCGUAACUGGUCUGAGAGGAUG
This 299-nucleotide ribosomal RNA is filed under the name Pseudomonas aeruginosa. RNAcentral describes it as "partial 16S ribosomal RNA". It matches the Rfam family "Bacterial small subunit ribosomal RNA", at positions 1 to 302 of the family's 1533-position model. The record is from RNAcentral. Lineage: Bacteria; Pseudomonadati; Pseudomonadota; Gammaproteobacteria; Pseudomonadales; Pseudomonadaceae.